This is a long non-coding RNA of Ipomoea nil (Japanese morning glory), 172 nucleotides long. RefSeq lists it as uncharacterized. The transcript is spliced from 3 exons. The record is from RefSeq and is a predicted model, not a curated record. Lineage: Eukaryota; Viridiplantae; Streptophyta; Magnoliopsida; Solanales; Convolvulaceae.
AAGAGAGCGGUGGGUACUCCAAGGUGCAAAUUGGAUGUGGAAAUUGUUGAUGAAACUAGGCACAUUGCGGCAUCAGUAUUCGGACUACUUGCAGAGUCAUUGUUGUUACAUUCAAGUAAACAAGUUAUGGAACUAGAACAGGAGGGAAAAAAACUACCACUGGUAAAUAUCA